UUGAUCUUGAGUGGAUUUUCUCACGUCUGGUUGUAUGAAUCCUAAGUCAACGCCGUUUUUAGUGCGUUAUACUUCAAGCUGUAUUGCAAUUUUCAUGGUUGAACUGACAUCCACCUAAUAAUAGAGAGUUAAAAAGCCUCCAGCCUUGAAAAUAUUGUAAGAACCACCUUCAACCAUCCAAUCGCAAGAGAAACUCAUGCACAUCGUCGCUGUGAUCAUAAGCCAAACAAUUGACCAUUACUCAAUGAUCCCGUCGAACCGGUUCCUGCCCGCCUCGCAUGCAAAAAGACAAACCACACGGACAACUUUGAUCUCAGAUUUCACGGCGAUUGACAUUUCGAAUCAUGCCCAUCAUCGCCAGUUGAUCCUCUCGGAAGCUGCGCCCUGCAACGGACACCAUUGUCGUUUUCAUCAGUGUAUUAUUGUCUAUCUGAUCGUGAGGCAUGAAUAAUUUGGGCAGGCCAAUAACCGCUUUACGGACCGGCAUCGGCAGUAGCCAGAGUAUGCCUUUGUAACCGCCCACCCAGGCUUGUUUGAAAGGAAAAGGAACUGAUCUCCUCCGCAACAUCGUACCUUUGGAAGAUAAUAAACU
Armigeres subalbatus is the source of this 592-nucleotide long non-coding RNA. RefSeq lists it as uncharacterized. The transcript is spliced from 3 exons. NCBI's taxonomy places the organism in Eukaryota, Metazoa, Arthropoda, Insecta, Diptera, Culicidae. The record is from RefSeq and is a predicted model, not a curated record.